Grammomys surdaster is the source of this 457-nucleotide long non-coding RNA. RefSeq lists it as uncharacterized. NCBI's taxonomy places the organism in Eukaryota, Metazoa, Chordata, Mammalia, Rodentia, Muridae. The transcript has 5 exons. The record is from RefSeq and is a predicted model, not a curated record.
CCAAAACCAGUCUGGAAGGUUGGAGGUUAACACGGAGUGUUUCUCAAUCAGUGUGUCACUGACCCUGGAGCUCACUGACUCUGCUAGACUGGGACGUUCUGACAAUUGCUCCAGCACGAAUGAACCUUGAGGGCAUUGAGCCAAGUGAAAUAAGCCAGUAACAGAAAGACAAAAAGUCCUGAUCACACUUAAAUAAGCUUCCUGUGCCUCUCAGUUUCCCCCAGAGACACUUGUCCUUGGCAGCUGUGCCUUCCUUGGGUGUCCAGCCGAGUUGUUUGCAGUUAACCAGCUACAGAAAAUGUCAGCCUGAGACGAUAACUUCAGCCUCGUCAGAUUCCACUGGUAUCACCAUAAGUCCACUCCAACAAUUUGCCAAAAAACAAGACUCAGCAGAACAAUUUAGUUGCCCCCCUCACUGGUCUGAUUAAACAAAACAAAAGGAAAGGGGUCAUAUCAA